CUUCCUCUCUCAGGGGUCUUUUCGAAGAGAGGUGACUCUGGCUUUGUGGUGGAGAGGUGGCUGGUGGCAGCAUGCUGGGCGUCCUGGUAUCUUGGCGUGGCUGCAGCUAUUGUUCAGGACUAAAUGAAGAGUAGAUCACCUUAACAAGGAAGAAAAGACAAACUUACACAGAAGCAAAUCAACCAACAAAAGCCUUGAAUUCGGGGAAAUGGCAACAUCUACUGCAAAUCAAGACACCUGACAUCAAAGCUGCAGAGACGAAAAUGUUGAUUUCAAAGAACCUUUUGUAGGAGCAAACGUUCACAUUUGAAUCCCACGACGUCUAUUUUUAGCUUGUGGAUCUAGACCAUCAGAGCUGGAGUUCCUAAGAAAUACUGUCUCGAGGUCAGAUUUCCGGCAUCAAAGGGUUUGGGGGAAAGGAAGACCGCCCGCACAUGCCACAAGGACUGCAGUCCUUCUCUACACCUAGGGAAAUAGCGAAGCCCUUCCUACCCUCAAAACCCAUCCUGCCCAACACCAUCUCUCCACAAUCACAGCCACGGACAUGUACUAUUUUUUAAUAUUGUUAUGGUUUUGUGUCGAAAAUGUACAUGUAAAAUUAUGUUCCACAAAUGCAUUUUGCAAACAUUUUUACAAAUAAAGAAAGAGAAAAAAAUGACAUUUUCUGCAAUGUUCAA
Monodelphis domestica (gray short-tailed opossum) is the source of this 677-nucleotide long non-coding RNA. RefSeq lists it as uncharacterized. The record is from RefSeq and is a predicted model, not a curated record. NCBI's taxonomy places the organism in Eukaryota, Metazoa, Chordata, Mammalia, Didelphimorphia, Didelphidae.